This 332-nucleotide unclassified non-coding RNA is filed under the name soil metagenome. RNAcentral's name for it is "partial contains 5.8S ribosomal RNA, internal transcribed spacer 2, and large subunit ribosomal RNA". The stretch from base 1 to 120 matches the Rfam family "5.8S ribosomal RNA", at positions 35 to 154 of the family's 154-position model. The record is from RNAcentral.
GAUGAAGAACGUAGCAAAAUGCGAUAAGUAAUGUGAAUUGCAGAAUUCAGUGAAUCAUCGAAUCUUUGAACGCACAUUUCGCCCGCCAGUAUUCUGGCGGGCAUGCCUGUUCGAGCGUCAUUUCAACCCUCAAGCACAGCUUGGUGUUGGGACUCGCGUUAAUUCGCGUUCCUCAAAUUGAUUGGCGGUCACGUCGAGCUUCCAUAGCGUAGUAGUAAAACCCUCGUUACUGGUAAUCGUCGCGGCCACGCCGUUAAACCCCAACUUCUGAAUGUUGACCUCGGAUCAGGUAGGAAUACCCGCUGAACUUAAGCAUAUCAAUAAGCGGAGGA